RNAcentral lists this ribosomal RNA (443 nucleotides) under uncultured bacterium. Its description in RNAcentral is "partial 16S ribosomal RNA". It matches the Rfam family "Bacterial small subunit ribosomal RNA", at positions 338 to 795 of the family's 1533-position model. The record is from RNAcentral.
CCUACGGGCGGCAGCAGUGGGGAAUAUUGCACAAUGGGCGAAAGCCUGAUGCAGCAACGCCGCGUGAAGGAAGAAGGGUUUCGGCUCGUAAACUUCUAUCAACAGGGACGAAAGAAAUGACGGUGCCUGAAUAAGAAGCCCCGGCUAACUACGUGCCAGCAGCCGCGGGAAUACGUAGGGGGCAAGCGUUAUCCGGAAUUACUGGGUGUAAAGGGUGAUUCGGCGGGAGGGUAAGCAAGAUGUGAAAGCCUUGGGCUUAACCCGAGGAUUGCAUUUGGAACUAGCAAGCUAGAGUACAGGAGAGGAAAGCGGAAUUCCUAGUGUAGCGGUGAAAUGCGUAGAUAUUAGGAAGAACACCAGUUGCGAAGGCGGCUCUCGGGACUGAAACUGACGCUGAGGCACGAAAGCGUGGGGAGCGAACAGGAUUAGAUACCCUUGUAGUC